CAUUAUUGAAAUAAACCUGAUGGGUUGUUGCUGGUUCUCUAGAGAGCAUGUGCACACCUUGUCAUCUUUAUAUCUCCACCUGUGCACCUUUUGUAGACCUUCCAGGUCUAUGUUGCUUCUUCAUAUACCCAAUGUAUGUUAAUAGAAUGUUGUUGCUUAUAAAUCUAUACAACUUUCAGCAACGGAUCUCUUGGCUCUCGCAUCGAUGAAGAACGCAGCGAAAUGCGAUAAGUAAUGUGAAUUGCAGAAUUCAGUGAAUCAUCGAAUCUUUGAACGCACCUUGCGCUCCUUGGUAUUCCGAGGAGCAUGCCUGUUUGAGUGUCAUUAAUAUAUAUAUCAAACUUCUCUUCUUCUGAGUGGUUUGGAUGUGGGGGUUUUGCUGGCCUCUUAAAGGGGUUCAGCUCUCCUGAAAUGCAUUAGCAGAACAAACCUGUUCAUUGGUGUGAUAACUAUCUACGCUGUUGAAUGUUAAGGGGCAGUUCAGCUUUCUAACAGUCCCAGGACAAUUUAUCACUUAUGUGACCUCAAAUCAGGUAGGACUACCCGCUGAACUUAAGCAUAU
This 562-nucleotide unclassified non-coding RNA is filed under the name uncultured Cortinarius. RNAcentral's name for it is "sequence contains ITS1, 5.8S rRNA gene and ITS2". The stretch from base 171 to 324 matches the Rfam family "5.8S ribosomal RNA". Lineage: Eukaryota; Fungi; Basidiomycota; Agaricomycetes; Agaricales; Cortinariaceae. The record is from RNAcentral.